RNAcentral lists this ribosomal RNA (303 nucleotides) under uncultured bacterium. RNAcentral describes it as "partial 16S ribosomal RNA". It matches the Rfam family "Bacterial small subunit ribosomal RNA", at positions 507 to 807 of the family's 1533-position model. The record is from RNAcentral.
AGCAGUCGCCACGGUAAAACAGAGGGUGCGAGCGUUAAUCGGAUUUACUGGGCGUAAAGCGUGCGUAGGCGGCUUUUUAAGUCGGAUGUGAAAUCCCUGAGCUUAACUUAGGAAUUGCAUUCGAUACUGGGAAGCUAGAGUAUGGGAGAGGAUGGUAGAAUUCCAGGUGUAGCGGUGAAAUGCGUAGAGAUCUGGAGGAAUACCGAUGGCGAAGGCAGCCAUCUGGCCUAAUACUGACGCUGAGGUACGAAAGCAUGGGGAGCAAACAGGAUUAGAUACCCCUGUAGUCCCUGUCUCUUAUAC